Molecule: long non-coding RNA, 443 nt
Organism: Mauremys mutica (yellowpond turtle)
Lineage: Eukaryota; Metazoa; Chordata; Testudines; Geoemydidae
Exons: 3
Source: RefSeq, a predicted model, not a curated record
GGUAUGUGGAUCCCACCAGAAGUUAAAAUGAAAAUAAGCCUUGAAAAAUGAUUGGCGCCCGCCACACUCUUCUGAAAACAUGAAUGUGCUACUGGCCACAAAAAGGUUGGGAACCACUGCUGUAGCCAGAUCAAUGAAAAGCUCCACUCACUGCACAGCUGCCAGCAGAAAAGCGAACGUGUUCAGAUUCACAAGGAAUGGGAUGGAGAAUAACACGGAACGUUUGUAUAUAAAUCACGGGGGCAGCCUCGAAUAUCCUGGGAUCCCCAUGGCUACUACAGCACCGCACACGGGAUAUUUUAAAUCUAUCCUUGAGAACUGGGGAAGAAAUAGGUCUAAAAAGAACUAUUUGAUGAUGAGAGAAAAGCACCCGGUUCUGAAGAGAUUUUAUACCAUGUGUGUGACUGAGAUCAGGGCUCUUAUCGUACUGAGCGUGGCCCUGU